GUACGUAGGGGCUUCCUUGCAAACGCUUGCGUUGUCCCCGAAGGCCUGCGCGGUGUAUCCGGCCGCCUUUUAUAUCCCGUCGCGGUGCUCUUUACUGAGUGUCGAGGCGGGCCGGCACGUUUACUUUGAACAAAUUAGAGUGCUUUAAGCAGGCCCUGUCCCGCCUGUAUGUUGUGUGCAUGGAAUAAUGGAAUAGGACCUCGGUUCUAUUUUGUUGGUUUUCGGAAUCUGAGGUAAUGAUCAAUGGGGACAGGCGGGGGCAUUCGUAUUGCGACGUUAGAGGUGAAAUUCUUGGAUCGUCGCAAGACGGACCGAAGCGAAAGCAUUUGCCAAGUAUGUUCUCGUCGAUCAAGAACGAAAGUUAGAGGUUCGAAGGCGAUCAGAUACCGCCCUAGUUCUAACCAUAAACUAUGCCUGCCAGCGAUCCGCCGAAGUUCCUCCGAUGACUCGGCGGGCAGCUUCCGGGAAACCAGAGCUUUUGGGUUCCGGGGGAAGUAUGGUUGCAAAGCUGAAACUUAAAGGAAUUGACGGAAGGGCACCACCAGGAGUGGAGCCUGCGGCUUAAUUUGACUCAACACGGGAAAACUCACCAGGCCCGGACACCGGAAGGAUUGACAGAUUGAGAGCUCUUUCUUGAUUCGGUGGGUGGUGGUGCAUGGCCGUUCUUAGUUGGUGGAGCGAUUUGUCUGGUUAAUUCCGAUAACGAACGAGACUCUAGCCUACUAACUAGGCGUACCCGGUAUCCACUAUCGUGCUACCGGCGGUCAAAUUUCUUCUUAGAGGGACAGGCGGCGUCUAGCCGCAAGAGACUGAGCAAUAACAGGUCUGUGAUGCCCUUAGAUGUCCUGGGCCGCACGCGCGCUACACUGAAGGAAUCAGCGUGUCUUCCCUGUCCGAAAGGACCGGGUAACCCGCUGAACCUCCUUUGUGCUAGGGAUUGGGGCUUGCAAUUGUUCCCCAUGAACGAGGAAUUCCCAGUAAGCGCGAGUCAUAAGCUCGCGUUGAUUACGUCCCUGCCCUUUGUACACACCGCCCGUCGCUACUACCGAUUGAAUGAUUUAGUGAGGUCUUCGGACUGGUGCGCGGAGGCCGCAUUACACGGUCUCCGAUGUUGCUGGAAAGAUGACCAAACUUGAUCAUUU
Molecule: ribosomal RNA, 1142 nt
Filed under: Cathedra serrata
Lineage: Eukaryota; Metazoa; Arthropoda; Insecta; Hemiptera; Fulgoridae
Description: SSU rRNA
Rfam family: Eukaryotic small subunit ribosomal RNA
Source: RNAcentral